GGCAAACAACGGAGCCUCCACGGAUUUUAUUGAUAAUACCAUCGAAAGAGCAGAACAAAUAUGCAGAUUUCUAAGAAGACAGCAUAUAGAAAAGAUGAAAUGGAUUCUCAAAAAGUAGAUUACCUGCAGAAAAGUAACCCGCAUCAAGCUAGAAGAUGCCCUCCCAUAGUAGGAGAAAUACAGCUCCCACACUUCGUUAAAAGCCUGUUCGAGCAAGGACCGUCAUGUGCCACUUUCGCGCCUAACAACCAAUGUGAAGAAAUACCGUUUGUUGAGGAAUUAAUAUCCAGCUUAUAAGCCCCGACCUCAGAUAAGCAUAAAUUGAGAUGGCAGUACGUGAGAGAAGUAACGCAUGAGGCCAAGCAGAUAAGAAAUAAUGCUGCAGUAAGGGAGCAAAGGCAACUUAUUAGAGAAACCACCCAAUGGACAACGGAUAACGACCUAGUCUUCACUAGGGAAGAUAAAACAAAGAAAGUGUAUUAAUCGAACAACAUACAUA
Molecule: long non-coding RNA, 499 nt
Filed under: Androctonus crassicauda
Lineage: Eukaryota; Metazoa; Arthropoda; Arachnida; Scorpiones; Buthidae
Source: RNAcentral